AUACUUACCUGACAGGGGAAAUACCGUGAUCACAAAAGUGGUUUCUCCAGGGCAAGUCUUAUCCAUUGCACUCUGGAUAUGCUGAACCCUGUAAUUUCCGUAAAUGUGGGAAACUUGACUACAUUAUUUGUGGUAGUGGGGGACUGUGUUCGUGCUCUCUCCUG
Molecule: small nuclear RNA, 164 nt
Organism: Suncus etruscus (white-toothed pygmy shrew)
Lineage: Eukaryota; Metazoa; Chordata; Mammalia; Eulipotyphla; Soricidae
Product: U1 spliceosomal RNA
Exons: 1
Source: RefSeq, a predicted model, not a curated record